UGGUGUGGGUCUCUGUGGGUUCUGUUUGUUUGUGACUGUGUGAUUCCUACGCCUGGAAAUGUCUCUCUUUCUUCAUGGUUGGUGAGUUUUUGCCAUAAUUUCAUUAAGUACAUUUUCAACUGUUUUCUCUCUCUCUUCUGCUUCUGGGAGCCCGAUCAUGCCAAUGUUAGGACAGUUGAUGUAGUUCCAUAGAUUCCUUAAACUGCUCUCAAUUUUAAAAAAGUUGUUCUUCCUUUUGUAGUUCUGACUGGGUAAUUCCCAUGGUUCUGUCUUCCAGGUCACGUGGGGUCUCCGGUGUCACCUAGUCCCCUGUUCGCCCCUUCCAGUGUUUUAAGUUUUAGCUAUUGUACCCCUCUGGGGCAGUGCUGUUCCAUUGUACGCUCAGCCCACAUCGUGCUCAUCUGUCCAUCCACGGAAGGACACUCGCGUUCCCGCCUCGUGGAAGCCAGCGUUUUGUCUCCGAAGGUGGAGAACGGCUCAUGCUCCUCACAGCAGGACCGCACGAAGGUGCCUUUCUGAGCAGCUCGAGUGCUGGGCAGCCAGUGAGCAAGCCGAGUGGGGUCGCCCGCGGGAGGGAUCCACUCUGCUUUCCAGCAGGUUUGUGACACUUGCUGCCGUUCUAAUCCAGGAUGCUGUUCCUUCUACGAGGCUCAAUCACUUGAUGUACCGUUUAGGGGGAAAUGCGCUGCGUUGUGAACAGACCCAGUGCGGGUAACUGGACGUUCCCACGUUGUACGUGUGGAAGCACGUGCUUUAGACUUAAUUAAGCAUCGAUGCUGGGCCCUUGAGCUGGCUUUCCAGUGCAGUUUAGACCCCCUCUUCAGGAACGCUGCUGAGUGCCGUGGACCUGCCCUCCCAUCCUCUCUGGAGUCAGUCGGCUCCUGUGGGUUGGAAGAAGACUGCGUUGUGCCCCAGGGUGUGUUAGUCUCCAGGGGAACGGAAUCCGUAGGAUGUACCCCUACCUCUGUGUAUACGGUCUGUAUCUAGAAAGAGAUUUGUCGUAAAGAAGUGACUGGCACAAUGACGGUGGCUGGAGUCCAUGAUCUGCCGGGGCGCAGGCAGCUGACGUGGAGAGUUCAGGUCCAAAGGCCGUCUGCUGUCUUCCUGAGAGAGGAUGCCUGGAGGGACGUUGUCUGAGAUCUUGCCUGUCAGGGGAUGCCUUUAUUCUACCUUUACACUUUAUCCUUGGUUUGGGUGCAAAUUCUGUUAGAAAUAAUUUUUCUGCUGAUGGCUGAAGGCCAUUUGAUUGCAUGUCCCCCUCAGUGGCAGAACAUUCUAGAAGCACCAAAGGAGCUCAGAUAAGGGAGUGACCUCUCGCUGCCCAGGAACACCUCUGAGAGCUCGCCUGGAGCGAAGGCAACCUAAUGGAGAAGGGGCUCUGUUCACCAAGUGGUGGUGGAGCACCUGCAUCCCAGCAGGAAACGAGCUGAGGCACAUACUCACAGUGGUCAUGAAGUUGACUCACAGUGGGUCGUUGACCUCAACGCAAAGAACGGAACCAUGGGAAUCUAGGUGACCUUGAGUUCGGCGAAGAGCCAGGAGGUACAACACCAAAAGCGCAUUCCACGAAAAAGAAGUCACUAGCUGAACUUAACUGAAGUGGAAAAUGCCUGCCUGUGGAAGACACUGUCGAGAGAAUGAAAGGCAGGCCAGAGACUGGGAGAAUCACACAUCUGCAAACCUCGUAUCUGAUAAAGGACUCGUGUCCGAAAUAUGCAGAGAACUGUUAAAAGUCAGCAACAAGGAAAGCAACAACCCAGUUAAAAGUGACUAAAAGCCCUGGACAGACCUGUCACCUGGGAAGACUCACAGAUGCAGAGAAGGAAGCGCAAGUUUCCUCCACGUCCUACGUCGCUGGAGCCUGUAAGUGAAAACAAGUAAGACCACCACGCAGCUGUUAGAACGGUGGACGUCCAGAAGCAACACCGAAACCCGGCACCUCCCAACGCUGGUGAGGGUGUGGGGCAGCAGGAGGCCUCCUCCGCUGCGGGUGGGUGCAAAACGGAAGAGCCCGUCUGCAGGAGAGCUCGGCAGGUUCUCCAAAAUCUAAACCUAAUCUUGCCAUACAACCCAGCAACUGCAUUCCUAGAUACUCACCUGUUCAAAUGGGCUGAAAACUCAUGUCCACCCCAAAACUGUGCAGCGAUGUUUAUGGUUUAUAAACGUCUGCAGAUGCUUUGUUCGUAGCUUAACUCAAACUUGGAUGCGCCCAGGAUGUCCCUCAGUAGGUGAGUGGAUGCAUCCAGACAGUGGGAUAGGAUUUCAGAAUAAAAAGGACGAAGCCGUCUGUGAAGAAUUGAGUUUUUCAUCAUUGUAUAGCGUCCUUCUGGGUGUCUUAUGACUGUUUUUACCUUCAAGUCUAUUUUGUCCAAGUGUACCCAUCCUUGCUUCCUUUUGUUUGCCUUUCUCAUGGAGUACCUUUUUCCAUCCCUUCAUGUCCAGCCUACAUGUGUCCUUAAACCUAAAGUGAGUCCCUUGUGAUGGCACAGAUUUGGACCUUGCUUGUUAUCCACUCAGCCGCUCUCUAUCUUUUGCUCUGAUAAUUUAAUCCAUUUACAUUUAAGGUAAUUGUGGCAGGGAAAGGCCUAUUAUCACUGUUGUUUUUAAUAGUUCUCUGUCUGUCUUAUAGUUAAUUUGUUCCUCUAUUCCUUCUUGCUUCUUUCUUUUGUGCUUCAUUGAUUUUC
Molecule: RNA transcript, 2684 nt
Organism: Camelus dromedarius (Arabian camel)
Lineage: Eukaryota; Metazoa; Chordata; Mammalia; Artiodactyla; Camelidae
Exons: 3
Source: RefSeq, a predicted model, not a curated record